RNAcentral lists this ribosomal RNA (395 nucleotides) under uncultured bacterium. Its description in RNAcentral is "partial 16S ribosomal RNA". It matches the Rfam family "Bacterial small subunit ribosomal RNA", at positions 523 to 918 of the family's 1533-position model. The record is from RNAcentral.
AUACGUAGGGUGCAAGCGUUAAUCGGAAUUACUGGGCGUAAAGCGUGCGCAGGCGGUUUUGUAAGACAGAGGUGAAAUCCCCGGGCUCAACCUGGGAACUGCCUUUGUGACUGCAAGGCUAGAGUACGGCAGAGGGGGAUGGAAUUCCGCGUGUAGCAGUGAAAUGCGUAGAUAUGCGGAGGAACACCGAUGGCGAAGGCAAUCCCCUGGGCCUGUACUGACGCUCAUGCACGAAAGCGUGGGGAGCAAACAGGAUUAGAUACCCUGUUAGUCCACGCCCUAAACGAUGUCAACUGGUUGUUGGGUCUUCAUUGACUCAGUAACGAAGCUAACGCGUGAAGUUGGCCGCCUGGGGAGUACGGCCGCAAGGUUGAAACUUAAAUGAAUUGGCGGGG